Molecule: microRNA, 20 nt
Filed under: Gadus morhua (Atlantic cod)
Lineage: Eukaryota; Metazoa; Chordata; Actinopteri; Gadiformes; Gadidae
Description: gmo-let-7h-2-3p
Gene: gmo-let-7h-2-3p
Source: miRBase by way of RNAcentral
CUAUACAACUUACUGCCUUC